GACGAACGCUGGCGGCGUGCUUAACACAUGCAAGUCGAACGGAAAGGCCCUGCUUUUGUGGGGUGCUCGAGUGGCGAACGGGUGAGUAACACGUGAGUAACCUGCCCUUGACUUUGGGAUAACUUCAGGAAACUGGGGCUAAUACCGGAUAGGAGCUCCUGCUGCAUGGUGGGGGUUGGAAAGUUUCGGCGGUUGGGGAUGGACUCGCGGCUUAUCAGCUUGUUGGUGGGGUAGUGGCUUACCAAGGCUUUGACGGGUAGCCGGCCUGAGAGGGUGACCGGCCACAUGGGGACGGAGAUACGGCCCAGACUCCUACGGGAGGCAGGAGUGGGGAAUAUUGCACAAGGGGCGGAAGCAUGAUGCAGCAACGCCGCGUGGGGGAUGACGGCAUUCGGGUUGUAAAACGCUUUCGCCUGUGACGAAGCGUGAGUGACGGUAAUGGGUAAAGAAGCACCGGCUAACUACGU
RNAcentral lists this ribosomal RNA (467 nucleotides) under uncultured bacterium. RNAcentral's name for it is "partial 16S ribosomal RNA". It matches the Rfam family "Bacterial small subunit ribosomal RNA", at positions 28 to 506 of the family's 1533-position model. The record is from RNAcentral.